RNAcentral lists this ribosomal RNA (445 nucleotides) under uncultured bacterium. RNAcentral's name for it is "partial 16S ribosomal RNA". It matches the Rfam family "Bacterial small subunit ribosomal RNA", at positions 354 to 796 of the family's 1533-position model. The record is from RNAcentral.
GUGAGGAAUAUUGGUCAAUGGGCGGGAGCCUGAACCAGCCAAGUCGCGUGAAGGAAGAAGGAUCUAUGGUUCGUAAACUUCUUUUGCAGGGGAAUAAAGUGCAGGACGUGUCCUGUUUUGUAUGUACCCUGAGAAUAAGGAUCGGCUAGCUCCGUGCCAGCAGCCGCGGUAAUACGGAGGAUCCGAGCGUUAUCCGGAUUUAUUGGGUUUAAAGGGUGCGUAGGUGGUUUGAUAAGUCAGCGGUGAAAGUUUGCAGCUUAACUGUAAAAAUGCCGUUGAAACUGUCGGACUUGAGUGUAAAUGAGGUAGGCGGAAUGCGUGGUGUAGCGGUGAAAUGCAUAGAUAUCACGCAGAACUCCGAUUGCGAAGGCAGCUUACUAAGCUACAACUGACACUGAAGCACGAAAGCGUGGGGAUCAAACAGGAUUAGAUACCCUUGUAGUCC